Molecule: ribosomal RNA, 484 nt
Filed under: uncultured bacterium
Lineage: Bacteria
Description: partial 16S ribosomal RNA
Rfam family: Bacterial small subunit ribosomal RNA
Source: RNAcentral
AUUGAACGCUGGCGGCAGGCCUAACACAUGCAAGUCGAGCGGAUGAAGGGAGCUUGCUCCUGGAUUCAGCGGCGGACGGGUGAGUAAUGCCUAGGAAUCUGCCUGGUAGUGGGGGAUAACGUCCGGAAACGGGCGCUAAUACUGCAUACGUCCUGCGGGAGAAAGAGGGGGAGCUUCGGACAUCACGCUAUCAGAUGAGUCGAGGUGGGAUUAGCUAGUUGGUGGGGUAAGGGGCUACUAAGGCGAGGAUCCGUAACUGGUCGGAGAGGAUGAUCAGUCACACUGGAGCUGAGCCAGGGUCCAGACUCCUACGGGAGGCAGCAGUGUGGAAUAUUGGACAAUGGGCGAAAGCCUGGUCCAGCCAUGCCGCGUGUGUGAAGAAGGUCUUCGGAGUGUAAAGCACUUUAAGGUGGGAGGAAGGGCAGUAAGUUAAUACCUUGCUGUUUUGACGUUACCAACAGAAUAAGCACCGGCUAACUUCGUG